Molecule: ribosomal RNA, 472 nt
Filed under: uncultured bacterium
Lineage: Bacteria
Description: bacterial SSU rRNA
Rfam family: Bacterial small subunit ribosomal RNA
Source: RNAcentral
AGAGUUUGAUCCUGGCUCAGAACGAACGCUGGCGGCAGGCCUUAUACAUGCAAGUCGAGCGCAUCCUUCGGGAUGAACGGCGGACGGGUGAGUAACGCGUGGGAAUGUGCCCUUCUCUACGGAAUAGCCACUGGAAACGGUGAGUAAUACCGUAUACGCCCUCAGGGGGAAAGAUUUAUCGGAGAAGGAUCAGCCCGCGUUAGAUUAGGUAGUUGGUGGGGUAAUGGCCUACCAAGCCUACGAUCUAUAGCUGGUUUUAGAGGAUGAUCAGCCACACUGGGACUGAGACACGGCCCAGACUCCUACGGGAGGCAGCAGUAGGGAAUCUUGGACAAUGGGGGAAACCCUGAUCCAGCCAUGCCGCGUGAGUGAAGAAGGCCCUAGGGUCGUAAAGCUCUUUCGCCUGUGAUGAUAAUGACAGUAGCAGGUAAAGAAACCCCGGCUAACUUCGUGCCAGCAGCCGCGGUAAUUC